RNAcentral lists this ribosomal RNA (451 nucleotides) under Hypselodoris krakatoa. RNAcentral describes it as "partial 16S ribosomal RNA". It matches the Rfam family "Bacterial large subunit ribosomal RNA", at positions 1817 to 2597 of the family's 2925-position model. Lineage: Eukaryota; Metazoa; Mollusca; Gastropoda; Nudibranchia; Chromodorididae. The record is from RNAcentral.
AGCCUUAGGCUAAUAAAUCUAAGGUGAAACCUGCCCAAUGUAGCUUUGCUCAUGAAUGGCCGCGGUACUCUGACCGUGCUAAGGUAGCGAAAUCAAUUGGCUUUUAAAUGGGGUCAGGUAUGAAUGGAAUUACGUAGUUUAACUGUCUCCUGAUUAAUUAUUUGAAGUUACUAUGUAGAUGAAAAAGUCUACAAUAAGAAAAAAGACGAGAAGACCCUUAGAGUUUUACUAAAAGUAAACCCAUAUUAAUGUUUACAAAAGUUUAGUUGGGGCAACUUAGGAGAACUUUUCAAACCUCCUAAAUUAAUACUAACCGUUCCUUUAAAAUUUGUAUAAACUACCUUAGGGAUAACAGCAUUAUGUAAAAAAUAAGUUUGUGACCUCGAUGUUGGACUGGGAAACUUAAGGGCUAGCCGCUCUUUAGGAAAGUUCUGUUCGAACUAAAAUUCCC